CUGCCCUCAACUGCAGAAUUUUUGCUGGGGCUAAGGAAAAGGGAAUCUUUAAAGUCCCUUGAACUUUCCAAGGUUCCAGAUGUGCACCCUGCAUUCUUGCUGGAAUCUGUAGUGACUACCAACAAAGUCACAUCUUCCAAAGAAAAUAGCUGUGACAAGUUUUGUUUCUUUUACACAUUUAGUGAAUAUGGUCUCUCAUGAUGCUGAAAGAAGUCUGUUGAUAUCAAAUAAGACCUUAUUGUUAAGAGACAAUGUCUUUCUUUGGUGUUUUUGAUCUUAAAAAGUGAUUCCUUCUUGGAAGACCUAGAUAUUCCAGUCUAUAUCCAUUGCUUAAAAUGGAUAGAAAUCAGCUGUCUGUAUUUAUCUUUUCCCGGGUCCUCCAGAAUUUUUGGAGACCACCACCUUCUCUUCAGAAGGCUCUAUCUGAUCCCUUAAAAGCUGCUGAGAAUUGUUGUCUUCCUUCUCUUGUCGACUGACCUUCCUUUAAAUUACUAGACCCUUUUGUAUUAUUUCCCGUGUCUAGUAUCCUCUAUAGUCCAAAAAGGAAACUCUGUCUUGAUUAGAAUGAUGUUCAUUCCAGGACUGAGGGCUAGUGAUGUCCCGAACGGUUCGCUGGCGAAUAUUUCCUGGCGAACAUCGCUUGUUCGCGUUCGCCACGGAUGGUGAACAUAUGCGCUGUUCGGUCCGCCCCCUAUUCAUCAUCAUUGAGUAAACGUUGACCCUGUACCUCACAGUCAGCAGACAUAUUCCAGCCAAUCAGCAGCAGACCCUCCCUCCCAGACCCUCCCACCUCCUG
Non-coding RNA from Pelobates cultripes (western spadefoot toad), 796 nucleotides. NCBI's taxonomy places the organism in Eukaryota, Metazoa, Chordata, Amphibia, Anura, Pelobatidae. The record is from the annotation of a GenBank genome assembly.